CCUACGGGUGGCAGCAGUGGGGAAUAUUGGACAAUGGGGGGAACCCUGAUCCAGCGACGCCGCGUGAGUGAAGAAGUAUUUCGGUAUGUAAAGCUCUAUCAGCAGGGAAGAAAAUGACGGUACCUGACUAAGAAGCCCCGUCUAACUACGUGCCAGCAGCCGUGGUAAUACGUAGGGGGCAAGCGUUAUCCGGAUUUACUGGGUGUAAGGGGAGCGUAGAGGGUGCAGCAAGUCUGAUGUGAAAGGUCGGGGCCCAAACCCGGGACUGCAGUGGAAACUGUGGAACUGGAGUACAGGAGAGGUAAGCGGAAUUCGUGGUGUAGCGGUGAAAUGCGUAGAUAUUAGGAGGAACCCCAGUGGCGAAGGCGGCUUACUGGACUGUAACUGACGUUGAGGCUCGAAAGCGUGGGGAGCGAACAGGAUUAGAUACCCGUGUAGUC
This 440-nucleotide ribosomal RNA is filed under the name uncultured bacterium. Its description in RNAcentral is "partial 16S ribosomal RNA". It matches the Rfam family "Bacterial small subunit ribosomal RNA", at positions 338 to 795 of the family's 1533-position model. The record is from RNAcentral.